UACAGAGGUCUCAAGCGUUGUCCGGAAUCAUUGGGCGUAAAGCGCGCGUAGGCGGCCCGGUAAGUCCGUUGUGAAAGUCAAAGGCUCAACCUUUGAACGCCGAUGGAUACUGCCGGGCUAGAGUCCGGAAGAGGCGAGUGGAAUUCCUGGUGUAGCGGUGGAAUGCGCAGAUAUCAGGUGGAACACCAAUAGCGAAGGCAGCUCGCUGGGACGGUACUGACGCUGAGGCGCGAAAGCGUGGGGAGCGAACAGG
RNAcentral lists this ribosomal RNA (253 nucleotides) under uncultured bacterium. RNAcentral's name for it is "partial 16S ribosomal RNA". It matches the Rfam family "Bacterial small subunit ribosomal RNA", at positions 524 to 776 of the family's 1533-position model. The record is from RNAcentral.